UUUAAACGUAAAUUAAUAAACUUAAUUAUUAAUAGUUAUGUUCUUUAAAGUUAAAGGAUUUGGCGGUAUUUUAGUCUAUUUAGAGGAACCUGUUCUAUAAUCGAUAAUCCACGAUUUAUUAUACUUACUUUACUAGUUUAUAUAUCGUCGUAGUUUGAAUGUUUUAAAAGAAUUUAAAUGUUCAAGAUUCUUUAUAAAGAAGGAAAUCAGAUCAAGGUGUAGCUUAUAGGUAAGGAGAAAUGGGUUACAAUAAAUUUAUUUAUAUGGUAUAGAUGUUUGAAAAAUUUCUAUUAAAGUGGAUUUAAAAGUAAUAAAGUUAAAUUUAAUUUUAUGAUUUUAGCUCUAAAAUAUGU
This 353-nucleotide ribosomal RNA is filed under the name Cafius caviceps. RNAcentral describes it as "partial 12S ribosomal RNA". The record is from RNAcentral. Lineage: Eukaryota; Metazoa; Arthropoda; Insecta; Coleoptera; Staphylinidae.